GUGGCCGGGUGCGGUGGCUCAAGCCUGUAAUCCCAGCACUUUGGGAGGCCGAGGCGGGUGGAUAACCUAAGGUCAGUACUUCAAGACCAGCCUGGCCAACACGGUGAAACCCUGUCCCUACU
Long non-coding RNA from Sapajus apella (tufted capuchin), 122 nucleotides. RefSeq lists it as uncharacterized. Lineage: Eukaryota; Metazoa; Chordata; Mammalia; Primates; Cebidae. The transcript has 2 exons. The record is from RefSeq and is a predicted model, not a curated record.